RNAcentral lists this ribosomal RNA (402 nucleotides) under uncultured prokaryote. RNAcentral's name for it is "bacterial SSU rRNA". It matches the Rfam family "Bacterial small subunit ribosomal RNA", at positions 355 to 774 of the family's 1533-position model. The record is from RNAcentral.
UAGGGAAUAUUAGAAAUGGACGAAAGUCUGAUCUAGCAACACCGCGUGUGCGAAGAAGGCCUUCGGGUCGUAAAGCACUUUUUGGAAGGAAUAGGAAGGAAUGUACUUCCAGAAUAAGUCUCAGCUAACUACGUGCCAGCAGCCGCGGUAACACGUAGGAGGCAAACGUUAUCCGGAUUUACUGGGCGUAAAGCGCGUGUAGGUGGUACUGUAAGUAGGGCGUGAAAGCUCCUGGCUCAACUGGGGGAGGCCGUUCUAAACUACAGAACUAGAGGAUGGUAGAGGGAGGUGGAAUUCCAGGUGUAGCGGUGGAAUGCGCAGAUAUCUGGAGGAACACCGGUGGCGAAGGCGGCCUCCUGGACCAUUCCUGACACUCAGACGCGAAAGCUAGGGUAGCAAACG